RNAcentral lists this transfer RNA (73 nucleotides) under Stegodyphus mimosarum. It matches the Rfam family "tRNA". Rfam says of the family: Transfer RNA (tRNA) molecules are approximately 80 nucleotides in length. Their secondary structure includes four short double-helical elements and three loops (D, anti-codon, and T loops). Further hydrogen bonds mediate the characteristic L-shaped molecular structure. tRNAs have two regions of fundamental functional importance: the anti-codon, which is responsible for specific mRNA codon recognition, and the 3' end, to which the tRNAs corresponding amino acid is attached (by aminoacyl-tRNA synthetases). tRNAs cope with the degeneracy of the genetic code in two manners: having more than one tRNA (with a specific anti-codon) for a particular amino acid; and 'wobble' base-pairing, i.e. permitting non-standard base-pairing at the 3rd anti-codon position. The record is from Rfam by way of RNAcentral. Lineage: Eukaryota; Metazoa; Arthropoda; Arachnida; Araneae; Eresidae.
GCUUUCGUGGUGUAGUGGUUAGCACGCUUGGCACGCAUUCGAGAGGUCCGUGGUUCGAGUCCCAGCCAGGGCA